RNAcentral lists this ribosomal RNA (587 nucleotides) under uncultured bacterium. RNAcentral describes it as "bacterial SSU rRNA". It matches the Rfam family "Bacterial small subunit ribosomal RNA", at positions 337 to 916 of the family's 1533-position model. The record is from RNAcentral.
UCCUACGGGAGGCAGCAGUGGGGAGUAUUGGACAAUGGGGGCAACCCUGAUCCAGCCAUGCCGCGUGUGUGAAGAAGGCCCUCGGGUUGUAAAGCACUUUCAGCGAGGAAGAACGCCUAGCGGUUAAUACCCGCUAGGAAAGACAUCACUCGCAGAAGAAGCACCGGCUAACUCCGUGCCAGCAGCCGCGGUAAUACGGAGGGUGCAAGCGUUAAUCGGAAUUACUGGGCGUAAAGCGCGCGUAGGUGGCUUGAUAAGCCGGUUGUGAAAGCCCCGGGCUCAACCUGGGAACGGCAUCCGGAACUGUCAAGCUAGAGUGCAGGAGAGGAAGGUAGAAUUCCCGGUGUAGCGGUGAAAUGCGUAGAGAUCGGGAGGAAUACCAGUGGCGAAGGCGGCCUUCUGGACUGACACUGACACUGAGGUGCGAAAGCGUGGGUAGCAAACAGGAUUAGAUACCCUGAUAGUCCACGCCGUAAACGAUGUCGACCAGCCGUUGGGUGCCUAGCGCACUUUGUGGCGAAGUUAACGCGAUAAGUCGACCGCCUGGGGAGUACGGCCGCAAGGUUAAAACUCAAAUGAAUUGACGG